This 914-nucleotide ribosomal RNA is filed under the name uncultured bacterium. RNAcentral describes it as "bacterial SSU rRNA". It matches the Rfam family "Bacterial small subunit ribosomal RNA", at positions 33 to 931 of the family's 1533-position model. The record is from RNAcentral.
ACGCUGGCGGCGUGCCUAAUACAUGCAAGUAGAACGCUGAAGGAGGAGCUUGCUUCUCUGGAUGAGUUGCGAACGGGUGAGUAACGCGUAGGUAACCUGCCUGGUAGCGGGGGAUAACUAUUGGAAACGAUAGCUAAUACCGCAUAACAGUAGAUGUUGCAUGACAUUUGCUUAAAAGGUGCAAUUGCAUCACUACCAGAUGGACCUGCGUUGUAUUAGCUAGUUGGUGGGGUAACGGCUCACCAAGGCGACGAUACAUAGCCGACCUGAGAGGGUGAUCGGCCACACUGGGACUGGGACACGGCCCAGACUCCUACGGGAGGCAGCAGUAGGGAAUCUUCGGCAAUGGACGGAAGUCUGACCGAGCAACGCCGCGUGAGUGAAGAAGGUUUUCGGAUCGUAAAGCUCUGUUGUAAGAGAAGAACGAGUGUGAGAGUGGAAAGUUCACGCUGUGACGGUAUCUUACCAGAAAGGGACGGCUAACUACGUGCCAGCAGCCGCGGUAAUACGUAGGUCCCGAGCGUUGUCCGGAUUUAUUGGGCGUAAAGCGAGCGCAGGCGGUUAGAUAAGUCUGAAGUUAAAGGCUGUGGCUUAACCAUAGUACGCUUUGGAAACUGUUUAACUUGAGUGCAAGAGGGGAGAGUGGAAUUCCAUGUGUAGCGGUGAAAUGCGUAGAUAUAUGGAGGAACACCGGUGGCGAAAGCGGCUCUCUGGCUUGUAACUGACGCUGAGGCUCGAAAGCGUGGGGAGCAAACAGGAUUAGAUACCCUGGUAGUCCACGCCGUAAACGAUGAGUGCUAGGUGUUAGACCCUUUCCGGGGUUUAGUGCCGCAGCUAACGCAUUAAGCACUCCGCCUGGGGAGUACGACCGCAAGGUUGAAACUCAAAGGAAUUGACGGGGGCCCGCACAAGCG